Long non-coding RNA from Cicer arietinum (chickpea), 583 nucleotides. RefSeq lists it as uncharacterized. NCBI's taxonomy places the organism in Eukaryota, Viridiplantae, Streptophyta, Magnoliopsida, Fabales, Fabaceae. The record is from RefSeq and is a predicted model, not a curated record.
UCCUAAUUAAUUGUUAGCCAAAACCUUCUAGCUAAUUCUCAACUCCUAUAAAAGCCGUUUGGGCCUCUUCCUUUUUCUCCAUAAACACUACCACUCAUAAAUAUAUAGUAUCAUCUAAAUUAUUCGGUAGCUACUAUACUAAAUUAACUAGAGGCAAGAAGGGGUAAGGUUGUAACAUUGUUGUCCAAAAUGAGGCUUCUUGCAAUAGCACUUUUGUUGGUUCUAGCAAGCUCAUGUAUGGCAAACCAUAAAAGAAAUUUAGUGUCCCAAAUUAUGUCCGAAAACCAGAAGAAGGAGCAAGACACAAAAGGAGAUCAUGGACUCAUUGACCCAAAUAAUCAUGUUACUGAUGAUAAUGAUCAUCAUUAUAUUCCUCGCAAGGAUUAUGGCACACAUCCUAAUGGCAAUGAAUGAAACGGUCUAAUGAGAACAAGAUAUGUAUAAUAUUCUAGUUGUAAUGUUUGAUUGAUAUGUAUGAUAAAUUUAAAGAAAUUCUUGGUUGGUUCUUUGCACUUAUACAAGAAUUUCUAAUAUAUAUAUAUAUAUGAAUAUCAUAUUUGUUUAAUACUAGUAUAUAAAAUAA